RNAcentral lists this transfer RNA (74 nucleotides) under Acinetobacter sp. Its description in RNAcentral is "tRNA-Pro". It matches the Rfam family "tRNA". Rfam says of the family: Transfer RNA (tRNA) molecules are approximately 80 nucleotides in length. Their secondary structure includes four short double-helical elements and three loops (D, anti-codon, and T loops). Further hydrogen bonds mediate the characteristic L-shaped molecular structure. tRNAs have two regions of fundamental functional importance: the anti-codon, which is responsible for specific mRNA codon recognition, and the 3' end, to which the tRNAs corresponding amino acid is attached (by aminoacyl-tRNA synthetases). tRNAs cope with the degeneracy of the genetic code in two manners: having more than one tRNA (with a specific anti-codon) for a particular amino acid; and 'wobble' base-pairing, i.e. permitting non-standard base-pairing at the 3rd anti-codon position. Lineage: Bacteria; Pseudomonadati; Pseudomonadota; Gammaproteobacteria; Moraxellales; Moraxellaceae. The record is from RNAcentral.
GGGGGAGUAGCUCAGUCUGGUAGAGCGCCGCACUUGGUGUGCGGAGGGCGCGGGUUCGGAUCCCGCCUCCACCA